Molecule: long non-coding RNA, 2385 nt
Organism: Glycine soja
Lineage: Eukaryota; Viridiplantae; Streptophyta; Magnoliopsida; Fabales; Fabaceae
Exons: 12
Source: RefSeq, a predicted model, not a curated record
GAAAAUUAAAUUUUCAGAUCUCGUGCCCUUCACUCUGCCAUUUUGCUUCUCGGGCCCUUAUUUCUUCCAAUCUUCGUCGAUUCUGCUUCUCAUGCCCUUCACUCUGCCAUUUUGCUUCUCGUGCCCUUAUUUCUUCCAAUCUUCGUCGAUUCUGCUUCUCAUGCCCUUAACUCUGCCAUUUUGCUUCUCUUGCCCUUAUUUCUUCCAAUCUUCUUCGAUUUUGCUUCUCGUGCCCCCUUCCCGGAAACUCCAUGAAAGGUCACCUUGUACCAUUGGUGGUUAAUUAAAGCCAAAAAUGACUUCCCCAUGAAAGUGUUUAGCCGUCACUGGUGUCUGGUCAAGAAAGCUGGUGACUCAAGCUUUGCAAAAGAUGAAGGGGAAGAUUCUAGAGAUUGCGGGCUCUCACACCUCAUCUUGGGUUCUUCUGUCUAAAAAGAGCAAUAAUCUAUGGAUGAGACACGCGACCUAGUUGCCUUCGUUGCAUGUCUUAAGCUUUUGACUGUUGGCGUGUGGUUACUGUUGAUGUUGCAUGCUGAAUGGGAAGCAACUAGCAAGCCAGCUAGCAAAUUAACAAGUGGAGAUGUUGUAUUAUGUGCAAGGCAAGAAGAAGUGAAGACAAGGCUAAUUAUGAAAACAAAACUUGUUGGCUGCAUGGUUUAGAAUGAAGUAUUCUUAUGUUGCCAUUGGAGCCUCGACAUCCUCUGCUCCAAUCCUCCAAUUCUGGAUUUUGUUUCACCCUAUACCUACACUGAUAUCAUCACUCAAGACUAUAAGGUCGCCUAGCCACUCUCCAAUCUCCAUCAUCAUUAUGGGUGAAGUUUACCCCAAUUAAUACAGUUCCACUGCAAUGAAACAAUGAGAAUUCACCGCUUUCACAAACACUUUGAAUUUGGGAAUUCCAGACAUAGAGUGGAGCUGAAACCAUCAGGUGCUUGAAGAAGGUCAUUGGAUGCUUAGCCUUGAGCUGGGCUACCCUUGUUUUGUUCUUCUAGAGAAGAGGCUGAGACUUCAUUACUGUUGUUACAUAGUAUUAUUGUAUCAUUUGUUGUCUUUUUUGGACCCUGUCGGGGGGCUAAAAUUAAAUUUAUUACCACUGUUUUCUUCAAUCUCUUAUUACUUUAUAAUUGAUGAUGUUUUUUAACACUAUUAUUAUUUUUGUACUCCUUGCUCCCUUGCCUCGUGUUCAUGUAUGUUGUGUUUUACCUUUGGCUUGCUUGAAGAGGGUAGGCACUGACACAAGGAUGCCUUUCUAUUUUUUUUUUAUUCUACUUGAGUUUGUGGUAAACAUUCUAUCCUUGGUAUGGGCUUAGAUUUCUUUGAUUUGUAUGAUAAAGUGAAAGCUACAUACAUGGUUUUGAUGAUGGUUCUGAUCUUGGCUCAUGGUUUUGCACCCUUUGUAAUGAAUUUUUUAAAUUAUCUAAUGUAGGGGGUGGUUUAUUGGCAGCCUCCCAAGGAAGCAUUGGAAAAGGUGAAAGAACUUGUAUCUGAGACUUUAAUUAGUCGUUAUGGUAACGAUGAAGGGAGAUAUGAAUGACCCUGAAGUAUUUCCCUUUGUAUUACUUGGGAACAAGGUUGAUAUAGACAGUGGAAACAGUAGAAGGGUCACUGAGAAAAAAGCUAGAGACCGGUGUGCUUCCCGGGGAAACAUACCAUAUUUUGAGACCUCUGCGAAAGAGGGCUACAACAUUGAAGAGGCUUUUUCAUGUGUUGCCAAAAUUGCACUAGAAUAUGAACAUGAUCAAGACAUAUAAGGAUCCUGCAAGGUCAUGGUCAUAGGAUAACAACCAUUGCAUGGAAUGGUCAAAUUUUAACUUCUGGAAGCCACGACAAAUAUAUAAUCAAUCAUGAUGGGUAUCCCUUCAUAUACUCCUCGCCUACUUUCAAUAAACUUAAGAGAAAGAAGAUAUGAUGCUUUCCCCAUGCAAUCUUGUAGUUCUGUUGGAAGCUAACUUCAAAAGCUUCUCUAGCAUAAGCUAUACCCAGUGCCACAAAGAGAAGAAGGACAAAGCAGAAGCUGCAAAUUAAAUAGUUUCCCGGUUUAUAAAUUACCAAAAAAGCAAAAAGAAUUUACAGACAAAAAAGCUCUUCGUACUGUAUAUACUCUAACUAAGAUACUUAGAUAUACAUGCGUACGCACUUACUUUUGUUGCUUCUGCAGUUGAGCCAUUAUGUCAAACAAAGUAGGCACCACUAUUUUUGUGUGGCCCGUUUCUUGUGAUCAUUGUAAUUUAUAUAUAGCAAUGAAUAUGGAUUAUAUAGAGUAUCACAGGGUAAUGAAUCUUAACUACAUUUCCAUGUCAAAGAAAAACUUUGGGUGAGAUUGAAGUGAAAGUGUAAAGUGAAAGAUACAUUUGAUUAAAGCAAAACACAAGUUGUGGCUCAUAA